Diachasmimorpha longicaudata is the source of this 1281-nucleotide long non-coding RNA. RefSeq lists it as uncharacterized. The transcript is spliced from 3 exons. The record is from RefSeq and is a predicted model, not a curated record. NCBI's taxonomy places the organism in Eukaryota, Metazoa, Arthropoda, Insecta, Hymenoptera, Braconidae.
AUAAGGAACCCGGAUUACUAGAAUGGACAUGUUGAAAACAGAAAAGAGUUCCCUUUGAGCAGAACACCAUUGUCACGCCAUCUGUUGGAGAUUUUUUCUCGAUCGCUAAGGUUGAAAUUUCUCAGUGCAAGUUGCAGAUUUUAAUCUUUAAAAGUAAAGCUGCGGUUGUACUACUUAAAGGUAGUGUGAAUAACCGUCGGGUCAGACGUUGAGCGAGAAAAAAUAAAUUUAAAUAACUAAAAAAAAAGGUUAAUCAAUAAAAAAAGCUCCUAUUAAUUGAAUCAUUGAUAAGAGUAACCCAUUAAUAAAUUAUUAAUUAAUUAAAAUGAUUAAUUAAUUUAAAUUAAGGGAGAAUUCAGUAGCGAAGUAGUAAAAAGAGAUGAGUCAACUUAUCUCUGAGUCGAUUUUUUAGCAAUAUCUGCGAAUCUAUCAGAGGUAGCAAAAUUUUUGUCAUAACCUUUAUCGUAGUACUCAAUACGCCCUACAAAAAAGGUUCUGAUACAAAUUUCCGUAUCUCCCCUAAAUUUCAAGGUAUUCAUUAAAAACUCGUCAGCAGUCAGAAGUGAUUUAUCUCGUUUUACCACUUUGUUGCGGAAUUAACAGAUUAAUUUCAAUUAAUUAAUUUAAUUAUCAUUUUGACUGACAAUCAUUCAGCAGUGACAUAAUAAACAAUGAUAAGUGCAUUAUGAAAAAUAUUCAACACCUCCAAUGGCACAUCGUCUUGGACUCCAUGGAAUUGGCCAACUCCUGAAUUUCUAUUUUUUAAUUUAAUAAUCACAAGAUUUUACUUCACUUGUUAAUAUUUUUAAUGAUCAGUUUUCUAUCCUAAUCUCCUCCCGAUCAUCAAAAAAACAAGUUUCUCCCAAAAUUCUAAACUCCAGACUGUCGAUUCCGAACAAACAGCACCAGAAUGUCUGCCCCCACUAUCUCUCGUUUAAAAUUCACUGUCGACGUCCAUUUACUUUAGAUUUGACUUUAAAUAACUAAUCAAGUAGCAAGGCUCAAUAAAAGGGCUGUUCCACGUUUGACCCAGAAAUCGGAACUCUCAUAUCCACUAUCGAGAUCUACAGUAACAACGAAUGCCGACCGAUUGUUGGUUCCACCUCUCACUGGAUAAUAAUAACAAGGACAGUUAUACAGACCUGUUAACAAUAAUUGUUCAGUUGGGCAAAAAUGAAUAACUGGCAUUUCGUAGAUUAAUUGCAUGGGUGUUGGCUCUGCUAGUGUACCACGUUUUCUGUCCCAUCCUGCACCCUCGAGAAAGAUCGAUCGAAUAAAGAC